GGCCUGUUGGUCUAGGGAUAUGAUUCUUGCUUUGGGGGCGAGAUGUCCCGGGUUCAAGUCCGUGACAAGCCC
Molecule: non-coding RNA, 72 nt
Organism: Danionella cerebrum
Lineage: Eukaryota; Metazoa; Chordata; Actinopteri; Cypriniformes; Danionidae
Source: the annotation of a GenBank genome assembly